This 1404-nucleotide ribosomal RNA is filed under the name uncultured bacterium. Its description in RNAcentral is "bacterial SSU rRNA". It matches the Rfam family "Bacterial small subunit ribosomal RNA". The record is from RNAcentral.
AGAGUUUGAUCCUGGCUCAGGAUGAACGCUGGCGGCAUGCCUAAUACAUGCAAGUCGAACGAGGGUCCUUCGGGACUCGAGUGGCGAACGGGUGAGUAACACGUAGGGAACCUGCCCGUGCGACCGGGAGAACUUUCGGAAACGGAAGCUGAUACCGGAUAGGGACAGAGACGGCAUCGACUCUGUGUUAAAGGAGCUGAAAGGCUCCGCGCACGGAUGGACCUGCGGUGCAUUAGCUAGUUGGUGAGGUAACGGCCCACCAAGGCGACGAUGCAUAGCCGGCCUGAGAGGGCGGACGGCCACACUGGGACUGAGACACGGCCCAGACUCCUACGGGAGGCAGCAGUGAGGAAUAUUGGUCAAUGGGCGCGAGCCUGAACCAGCCAAGUCGCGUGAGGGAAGACGGCCCUACGGGUUGUAAACCUCUUUUGCCGGGGAGCAACGGGCGCCACGUGUGGCGCCACUGAGAGUACCCGGAGAAAAAGCAUCGGCUAACUCCGUGCCAGCAGCCGCGGUAAUACGGAGGAUGCGAGCGUUAUCCGGAUUUAUUGGGUUUAAAGGGUGCGUAGGCGGAGCGUUAAGUCAGUGGUCAAAUUGAGGGGCUCAACCCCUUCCCGCCAUUGAAACUGGCGCUCUUGAGCGGAAGAGAAGUAUGCGGAAUGCGUGGUGUAGCGGUGAAAUGCAUAGAUAUCACGCAGAACCCCGAUUGCGAAGGCAGCAUGCCGGCUUCCUACUGACGCUGAAGCACGAAAGCGUGGGGAUCGAACAGGAUUAAAUACUCUGGUAGUCCACGCGGUAAAACGAUGAGCGCCUAGGUGUCCGGGGGGGAAAUGCCCCCUGGGUGCCCCCACCGAAAACCUUUAAAGCGCUCCCCCCUGGGGAGUACGCCGGCAACGGUGAAACUCAAAGGAAUUGACGGGGGCCCGCACAAGCGGAGGAAACAUGUGGUUUAAUUCGAUGAUACGCGAGGAACCUUACCCGGGCUCAAACGUUGCAGGAAGGGCUUCUGAAAGGAAGCCCGUCUACGGACCUGCAACGAGGUGCUGCAUGGUUGUCGUCAGCUCGUGCCGUGAGGUGUCGGCUUAAGUGCCAUAACGAGCGCAACCCCUACCGCCAGUUGCCAACAGGCAAAGCUGGGGACUCUGGCGGGACUGCCGGCGCAAGCUGCGAGGAAGGCGGGGAUGACGUCAAAUCAGCACGGCCCUUACGUCCGGGGCGACACACGUGUUACAAUGGCAGGUACAGCGGGAAGCCACCUGGCGACAGGGAGCGGAACCCGAAAGCCUGUCUCAGUUCGGAUUGGAGUCUGCAACCCGACUCCAUGAAGCUGGAUUCGCUAGUAAUCGCGCAUCAGCCACGGCGCGGUGAAUACGUUCCCGGGCCUUGCACACACCGCCCGUCAAG